AUGAGGCUGUCUGAUGCGAUUAACCGCUUAGUUAUCCGAACCAACAUUAUUAUAUAUCGGGAGCUGUCCCUUGACGGAUCGUGGUCCGUGAAUAUGGCACCCACCUUUUGAGAAGCGGUUCGAUACACAAGAAAGUCUAAACGGUCAGACGGCUUUGAU
Molecule: non-coding RNA, 159 nt
Filed under: Alphaproteobacteria bacterium
Lineage: Bacteria; Pseudomonadati; Pseudomonadota; Alphaproteobacteria
Description: 6S RNA
Rfam family: 6S / SsrS RNA
About the family: E. coli 6S RNA was the first non coding RNA to be sequenced, but its function was unknown until recently.
Source: RNAcentral